AACGAACGCUGGCGGCAUGCCUAACACAUGCAAGUCGAACGAAGCCUUCGGGCUUAGUGGCGCACGGGUGCGUAACGCGUGGGAACCUGCCUUUAGGUUCGGAAUAACAGUUAGAAAUGACUGCUAAUACCGAAUAAUGUCUUCGGACCAAAGAUUUAUCGCCUUUAGAUGGGCCCGCGUUAGAUUAGGUAGUUGGUGGGGUAAUGGCCUACCAAGCCGACGAUCUAUAGCUGGUCUGAGAGGAUGAUCAGCCACACUGGGACUGAGACACGGCCCAG
This 278-nucleotide ribosomal RNA is filed under the name uncultured bacterium. RNAcentral's name for it is "partial 16S ribosomal RNA". It matches the Rfam family "Bacterial small subunit ribosomal RNA", at positions 29 to 334 of the family's 1533-position model. The record is from RNAcentral.